This 600-nucleotide ribosomal RNA is filed under the name uncultured bacterium. RNAcentral describes it as "bacterial SSU rRNA". It matches the Rfam family "Bacterial small subunit ribosomal RNA", at positions 97 to 694 of the family's 1533-position model. The record is from RNAcentral.
GGCGUACGGGUGCGGAACACGUGUGCAACCUGCCUUUAUCUUGGGGGAUAGCCUUUCGAAAGGAAGAUUAAUACCCCAUAAUAUGUUGAAUGGCAUCAUUCGACAUUGAAAACUCCGGUGGAUAGAGAUGGGCACGCGCAAGAUUAGAUAGUUGGUGAGGUAACGGCUCACCAAGUCUACGAUCUUUAGGGGGGCCUGAGAGGGUGAUCCCCCACACUGGUACUGAGACACGGACCAGACUCCUACGGGAGGCAGCAGUGAGGAAUAUUGGACAAUGGGUGAGAGCCUGAUCCAGCCAUCCCGCGUGAAGGACGACUGCCCUAUGGGUUGUAAACUUCUUUUGUAUAGGGAUAAACCUACCCUCGUGAGGGUAGCUGAAGGUACUAUACGAAUAAGCACCGGCUAACUCCGUGCCAGCAGCCGCGGUAAUACGGAGGGUGCAAGCGUUAUCCGGAUUUAUUGGGUUUAAAGGGUCCGUAGGCGGAUCUGUAAGUCAGUGGUGAAAUCUCACAGCUUAACUGUGAAACUGCCAUUGAUGCUGCAGGUCUUGAGUGUUGUUGAAGUAGCUGGAAUAAGUAGUGUAGCGGUGAAAUGCAUAGA